This 29-nucleotide non-coding RNA is filed under the name Rattus norvegicus (Norway rat). The record is from RNAcentral. Lineage: Eukaryota; Metazoa; Chordata; Mammalia; Rodentia; Muridae.
UUGGAAUCAGUGUCCUUGGCAUUGACUUA